Molecule: ribosomal RNA, 459 nt
Filed under: Triticum aestivum (bread wheat)
Lineage: Eukaryota; Viridiplantae; Streptophyta; Magnoliopsida; Poales; Poaceae
Description: partial small subunit ribosomal RNA
Source: RNAcentral
AUGUGCUUGUAUCAGCGAGCGCACACCACAUAUUUCUUGGUGUUGGGGCAGCUGGAGAAAUCAAGUAGCCUAUCACUCAUCAGAAAGAAAUCAUGUGGAAAGACAGGGAAUGUGGAGGUAACAACUGGGCUAGUGGAUUGUACACAUCUCUUUAUUGACAAUCUUCCGGCCACCUUCCACCACUCUACCUCGUGUAAUGAUGAUUGGUUGUUCGCUGAUGCUGACCGGAGCCGAAAUACAAUUGCUAUUUGCCUUUGCUUCAUUUCUCUUGGGCCCUCUGCACUCCUUAUUCAGACGUACUGUUUCUCCAUUAACCGAAUUCGGGUGGCGACUGUUCAUAUGAAAGGUAAGAUUCCUGCCGCACAAUUUUCUCACCUAUGUUUAUCAUCUUUAUGCCGACGCAUAUCAUACAUACACCGUGUUGACACAUCAGUGACAGUUCACAUCAGCGCCAACUAG